Molecule: ribosomal RNA, 323 nt
Filed under: uncultured bacterium
Lineage: Bacteria
Description: bacterial SSU rRNA
Rfam family: Bacterial small subunit ribosomal RNA
Source: RNAcentral
GACGAACGCUGGCGGCGUGCCUAAUACAUGCAAGUCGAACGCUUCUUUUUCCACCGGAGCUUGCUCCACCGGAAAAAGAGGAGUGGCGAACGGGUGAGUAACACGUGGGUAACCUGCCCAUCAGAAGGGGACAACAGUUGGAAACGACUGCUAAUACCGCAUAAGCCCACAGGUCGGCAUCGACCAGAGGGAAAAGGAGCAAUCCGCUUUGAGAUGGCCUCGCGUCCGAUUAGCUAGUUGGUGAGGUAACGGCCCACCAAGGCGACGAUCGGUAGCCGGACUGAGAGGUUGAACGGCCACAUUGGGACUGAGACACGGCCCAG